RNAcentral lists this ribosomal RNA (433 nucleotides) under uncultured bacterium. RNAcentral's name for it is "partial 16S ribosomal RNA". It matches the Rfam family "Bacterial small subunit ribosomal RNA", at positions 29 to 508 of the family's 1533-position model. The record is from RNAcentral.
AACGAACGCUGGCGGCAUGCCUAACACAUGCAAGUCGAACGAGACCUUCGGGUCUAGUGGCGCACGGGUGCGUAACGCGUGGGAACCUGCCCUUAGGUUCGGAAUAACUCCCCGAAAGGGGUGCUAAUACCGGAUAAUGUCUUCGGACCAAAGAUUUAUCGCCUUUGGAUGGGCCCGCGUUGGAUUAGCUAGUUGGUAGGGUAAAAGCCUACCAAGGCGACGAUCCAUAGCUGGUCUGAGAGGAUGAUCAGCCACACUGGGACUGAGACACGGCCCAGACCCAGAGGGGGGGAGGAGGGGGGGAAUAUGGAAAAGGGGGCAAGGGUUUGAUCCAGCAGUGCCGGGGGAGUGAGGAGGGCGUGGGGGUGAAAAAGUUUUUUAACGGGGAAUGAUAAGAAGGUUCCGGGAAAAAAAGCCCCGGGCAAGCUCGGGG